UACGGGGGGGCAAGCGUUGUUCGGAAUUACGUGGCGUAAAGGGCUCGUAGGCGGCCAACUAAGUCGGAUGUGAAAUCCCCAGGCCUUAACCUGGGAACUGCAUCCGAUACUGGUCGGCUUGAAUCCGGGAGAGGGAUGCAGAAUUCCAGGUGUAGCGGUGAAAUGCGUAGAUAUCGUGGAGGAAUACCGGUGGCGAAGGCGGCAUCCUGGACCGGCAUUGACGCUGAACGCGAA
Molecule: ribosomal RNA, 234 nt
Filed under: uncultured bacterium
Lineage: Bacteria
Description: partial 16S ribosomal RNA
Rfam family: Bacterial small subunit ribosomal RNA
Source: RNAcentral